CCUACGGGAGGCAGCAGUGGGGAAUUUUUGGACAAUGGGCGAAAGCCUGAUCCAGCCAUUCCGCGUGCAGGAUGAAGGCCCCCGGGUUGUAAACUGCUUUUGUACAGAACGAAAAGGUUUCUAUUAAUACUAGGAGCUCAUGACGGUACUGUAAGAAUAAGCACCGGCUAACUACGUGCCAGCAGCCGCGGUAAUACGUAGGGUGCAAGCGUUAAUCGGAAUUACUGGGCGUAAAGCGUGCGCAGGCGGUUAUAUAAGUCAGAUGUGAAAUCCCCGGGCUCAACCUGGGAACUGCAUUUGAGACUGUAUAGCUAGAGUACGGUAGAGGGGGAUGGAAUUCCGCGUGUAGCAGUGAAAUGCGUAGAUAUGCGGAGGAACACCGAUGGCGAAGGCAAUCCCCUGGACCUGUACUGACGCUCAUGCACGAAAGCGUGGGGAGCAAACAGGAUUAGAUACCCUGGUAGUCCACGCCCUAAACGAUGUCAACUGGUUGUUGGGUCUUAACUGACUCAGUAACGAAGCUAAUGCGUGAAGUUGACCGCCUGGGGAGUACGGCCGCAAGGUUGAAACUCAAAUGAAUUGACCGGNGUGAGACGNGACGAGACGACGACGAGGGAGGAGG
RNAcentral lists this ribosomal RNA (622 nucleotides) under uncultured bacterium. RNAcentral's name for it is "bacterial SSU rRNA". It matches the Rfam family "Bacterial small subunit ribosomal RNA", at positions 338 to 951 of the family's 1533-position model. The record is from RNAcentral.